UACGUAGGGUGCGAGCGUUAAUCGGAAUUACUGGGCGUAAAGCGUGCGCAGGCGGUUUUGUAAGCCAGAUGUGAAAUCCCCGGGCUCAACCUGGGAAUGGCAUUUGGGACUGCAAGGCUUGAGUGCGGCAGAGGAGACUGGAAUUCCUGGUGUAGCAGUGAAAUGCGUAGAUAUCAGGAGGAAUACCGAUGGCGAAGGCAGGCCUCUGGGCUGACACUGACGCUCAUGCACGAAAGCGUGGGGAGCAAACAGG
This 253-nucleotide ribosomal RNA is filed under the name uncultured bacterium. Its description in RNAcentral is "partial 16S ribosomal RNA". It matches the Rfam family "Bacterial small subunit ribosomal RNA", at positions 524 to 776 of the family's 1533-position model. The record is from RNAcentral.